GAGAGGCUAUUUUUUGCUAUGGUUGACUAAAUAUGGUCAGGGAAGAGAGAGGCACAAGAGAGCCUGUUUGCCUGGGAGUGCAUGUUUCAAAUGCUUAGCUGCCUAUAAAGCUGUAACAGUUUAGCCAGUGGUCACUGAGGAAGAAUAUAAGUUAGCCUCGUAGUGACCAUGUGGAAGUCCUGACCUCGCUUGCAGACUUGACCUCUGGAUGUGACAAGGUGAGGUUCUGUGUUCACUGAUACAUCCCCUUCCUUCACCGGGCUCAUGAAAAGAAAUGCUGAAUCAGCAAAUAGAGUGAACGAACAAUCAAGAUGAGAUGGCUGCUGUUGAUGUGAUUCUCUAGGUUACUACCUUUCUUCCUGCUGCAAAUGCUGCAUGACACUAAGCUUACAGGAUCUAGAAGCAGACUACAAAAAAAGAAGAAAUUCACUCUGAAGACUGAAGAAACACUAGGCUGAUCUUAAGUUUCCGAAAUACACUCUGUAACACUACACUGAUUCUUUGAAUCUCUUGCAAAAAGAAUCAAACCAGGACAAAGUUCAACAGAUAACUGGUCAAAUGCUUAGGAAUGUCUAUGUCCACCAAGAAUAUGGAACCAUUAAUGCCAUGCUUCAGGUAAACUUGUUACAAAAUUUAGUCUUCGAUAAAUUAGUCUCUGCAAAUGAUUUACCAUUGCUCUACAUUAGUAAGCUGAAUGUUUCACUAACAAAUAAGAAAAUAAAAUAUUUCAUGUUUUUACAGCUAACAACUUAGUAAUACCUACUCAGAGUACAUACUUCUUUAUGUACCCAUAUGAACAUACAAUGCUAUGGAAUGUAAAGAAGUAUGUAUUUUUGGUAGGCAAUAAACCACCAAGGGAGAAUUAAACUGAGCUAAAAGAAGCUCUUGCUUCUUUCUACGUGAAUGACCGUCAUAUGGUAAAUUAACCUAGUCAUGAACAGAUGACCUUUGGCAAUACUAACACCAAAAAAAAAAGGUUAUCUACUACUGAUAGAUAGAAACUAUCCCUAAGGUUUUUAUUUCAUGAAGGAAAAGAAGAUCCAGUGAAGUAGAUUUCAAUUAUCAUGAAACUCCUUUUAAAUCAUCUAAGUUUAAAACAGACAUCUUACAUUUUUAAAUUAGGCACUCUCAUUAUUAAAAUUUGACUGCAAAAGGGAAAAUAGUAUUACUAGCACAAAAGAAUGAGGAAUACACAUGACCUAUUUUCUGUCUCCACAAUUUAAUCUUAAGUAUAUCUCAUUAGUAGGGCUCACUGAUUUGUACAGAAAAAUAAGAUACUAAGAGCUGGCUUCAUUCACAUAAUAAGCUAUUUCUUCUCAUUUUGAUAAAUGUAUAAUUAAUAUUAGAGGAAUUUCUGACCAAAAGUUUUGUUGUUUUAAAAAGGCUUUCUUUUUUGACAGCUACAAACAUAGUGGCCCUUGUCCUUCCUUCUCAAGUUUAUCAGGGUCUUAACCCAAAUCUCUACUUUAAAUGUGAAGUUAAAACUUAAAAUUAAUUAAAAUGUAAGAUUUAAGCAUGAAAAAUGACAAAAUUCUGGUCCACAGCUGUAAGUCAGCAGGGUAUAUUGGUAACAGACUACCAAAUAUUUAAAAGAAAUUAAUUUAUCUGUAUUAUCUUCGAAUUUGCUUUCUCCAAAGAGGGCAUGUAAAAUGAAAGCACUAUAGUCAAGAACCAAUUUAUACAGAUCGAAGAACUGUUUUUAUUGUACUAUGCAAUUACAAUUCAAUUUCUCUAAACUUGAUCAAUCCAUUGUUUAGAAAUAUCAAAAUACUUUUAUUUCACACAGUUUGUAUAUUAUUUAUAAAAAAUUCCAAAUAAUGCUCUUAGCAAAAUUUAUAAGCAGUACCUGUUUUAAGCUACUAAUGACAAAGUUAGAAAAUAAGAGUAAUAUUCACAUAUUCUAACCAUUUCUUACUAAAAGUAUUAUUUCAACUGAAAUAUUUACACAUGUAUAAAAGCAUAAUAUUUUAAAUUUUUUGUAUCAGAAAUUGAAUGGAAAUGACUAAGUUUAACUAUAGUUCAUUUUCUGUUUAAUAAGACUAGUUAAUACAAAGAUGAUUUUCAUUUUAUCAGAUUAUAAAGAAUGAGAAUGACUUACACAUGGCAUCAUAUGUGUUACUGCAUGUUUACUGGAAAUUAUAAAAGGCACAUAAUUUUAAAAUUCUACACUUUCAAAGAAAUUAGUUCAAAGCUUAACUCACAUAAGCAUAGCCCUUCUGAUCAUCCACAAAACAGAAUGGCAAUGAUUCAUGUUCUAUUUGGUAAGUUUACCUGUAUAGGUCCUAAAUACCAAGAACUCAAAAUAUAUACCUCAAAAGUAGAGGUUCUUCUAUAAAAAUACUCAAAGCUUAUUACUCUACUUGUGUUUUAUAAUAAACAGUUAUAUUGGUCAUUCUAUAGGUAUACAAGUUGUUUAAUAAUCCUUCUCAAACAUCCUAGCAACUAAGACUCUCUUUGCUAUAAUAUUAAGACUAUAUAAAUAAUCCUUAGAAAAUAAAAUGACAGGCUAUUCAUUUUUAAAAGUAAAAUUAUAUGCUGAUUCUGGUGCUUGCGAGUUUAACUUAUCUAAGAGUAUUUUCAAUCACUCUAAAAUGUCACAUCUAUCACUUAGAUCAGCUGUUCAUUUUUAACUGAGUACAUAUUAAACUCUGGGCAUCUGCUGACACUGGUAUAACUCAAACAUUUCAACUGUCUCCCUGACAGGGAUAACAGAUGCUGACAUUAUCAAAUGCUGUACUAUUUUUUUCCCAUGGCCUCUCCUUGCCCCGAUAUGGCCAGUAUAUGAAACUGAACUGCCAUCCAAAAACACACUUGAGCAACUGGAUCUGCUAAACAGCUCCCAUAUAACUAGUAAAAAUAGAAGCCAGUAUUAUUGCUAUCUUCAGCACUUAAGUUUAGGCAGUUUAACACCUGUUUCACUUCUACUAGAAAAAAUGAUGAAAAAGAAUUGUAGUUAAUUUCACCAGCAGUAUGAUACUUACCAACCAACAGACGCAGAAUAUACUUAGUGUAAGAGUCAUUUGCAUACUGCCUGAAUUAGCGUUGACCUCUCAGUUUAAAAUAGUAACUGUAAAGAAUAUUUCUCUACUCUAUAUUUCUCUGAGAGCACUUAACUUUAUAGGCAAAUUAUAAUUUAUCAAACUUUUAUUUUAUGCAAGAAGACACCCCUCUCAAGACAUUGAAAUCAACAGUAAAACCACAUUAUAACAAAAAUUUACUCUGAUUUUUCAAGUAUUAUCCACACAAUAGAUUUUAAUACUUGUAUCCAUGGAUUGUAACUAACCACCAUGUAUUACUAAGGCGAUAAUGAGAAGUAACUUGGCAAUCUGUACCCAAAAUGACAAAGAACUUAGUCAAGGAAAUAGACCUUUAAAAGGGUUAAAUUACUAAGCUAUGAUUAGUAACACCACGUAAGCAAAAACAAAGAAAAACUGGCAUGCAUGGUAGUUCCUUUCGACACAAGUCCAAGCAAUACACUGAAUACACAUGUGAUCUAUUUAUAAAUCAAAGGGCAGAGGUACUUUCUUAAGGCCACUGAUAUUCCUACACCCAUCAACAAUUUGCUAUUAGCCCUCAACUAUAAUGCUAAAAGAAGCAGUGGCAGUAGAAGGGGGUGACUAACUGAACUCUUCCCCAACCUUUUAGCUUAACUAUUUAUCUGGUUUGCUGCCUAGAGAUAAAUGGAAAACAUUACUCUAAAAUACAUCAAGGUCUAUUUGUUCCUUUAAAUACUAUUGGUUUUGAAAUAGCUUAUUGUCUACAUGUAAGAAUUAAGCAAAGACUUCGGCUGUGGACAAGAUUAGAAAAAGAAAAAGAAGCAAAGAUGUUGAAAACAAAGACGUACAUUGAUCAUUCCUUAAUGCAGUAAUGUGUUAAAAGGAAAAGAUUUUUAAACCAUUAAGCGCAGGAAAACAGUAGGAAAGUGACUUCAAAAUGGAAAAUUUGACAUUCAGUGACUGAAGCAUUGGUAUGAUAAUUUCUAACACUUGUAGAAGGUCCAUGACUGUAAUUUUACCAAUGAAAAGCAUUUAACUGUUUUGGAUUCCAAACUAGCAGCACUACAAUGCUUUGCUAGAGCUGGUAAAAUGGAACCAAAUCGCCUCUUCAAUGGAUUUGGUCCCCUUCAACCAGCUGUAGCUAUGCAUUGAUUACUACGGGACAACCAACGUUUUCAUUUGUGAAUAUCAAUUACUUGCCAACUAAUUUCAACUUAUUUACAUUAUGCAGACUGUGAUUAUAAUCAAAUAACUUGUUACUGUUAAUUCUACCUGGAAAAGCUAGAAUGGUUAAAGAUGUUUAUAAAAAGCUUUAUGAAAAAUGUAUGGAUGACUUAAGGAUUUCAAAUAAAAAUUUUACUUA
Molecule: long non-coding RNA, 4359 nt
Filed under: Homo sapiens (human)
Lineage: Eukaryota; Metazoa; Chordata; Mammalia; Primates; Hominidae
Description: MIR133A1 host gene
Rfam family: mir-133 microRNA precursor family (bases 4069-4140)
Source: RNAcentral